This 532-nucleotide ribosomal RNA is filed under the name uncultured archaeon. RNAcentral describes it as "bacterial SSU rRNA". It matches the Rfam family "Archaeal small subunit ribosomal RNA", at positions 327 to 859 of the family's 1478-position model. The record is from RNAcentral.
GGGGUGCAGCAGGCGCGAAACCUCCGCAAUGUGAGAAAUCGCGACGGGGGGAUCCCAAGUGCCAUUCUUAACGGGAUGGCUUUUCAUUAGUGUAAAGAGCUUUUGGAAUAAGGGCUGGGCAAGACCGGUGCCAGCCGCCGCGGUAACACCGGCAGCUCUAGUGGUAGCAGUUUUUAUUGGGCCUAAAGCGUCCGUAGCCGGUUUAAUAAGUCUCUGGUGAAAUCCUGUAGCUUAACUGUGGGAAUUGCUGGAGAUACUAUUAGACUUGAGACCGGGAGAGGUUAGAGGUACUCCCAGGGUAGAGGUGAAAUUCUGUAAUCCUGGGAGGACCGCCUGUUGCGAAGGCGUCUAACUGGAACGGUUCUGACGGUGAGGGACGAAAGUUAGGGGCGCGAACCGGAUUAGAUACCCGGGUAGUCCUAACCGUAAACGAUGCGGACUUGGUGUUGGGGUGGCUUUGAGCUGCUCCAGUGCCGAAGGGAAGCUGUUAAGUCCGCCGCCUGGGAAGUACGGUCGCAAGACUGAAACUUAA